Molecule: transfer RNA, 72 nt
Filed under: Ovis aries (sheep)
Lineage: Eukaryota; Metazoa; Chordata; Mammalia; Artiodactyla; Bovidae
Also listed under: 1 other name
Rfam family: tRNA
About the family: Transfer RNA (tRNA) molecules are approximately 80 nucleotides in length. Their secondary structure includes four short double-helical elements and three loops (D, anti-codon, and T loops). Further hydrogen bonds mediate the characteristic L-shaped molecular structure. tRNAs have two regions of fundamental functional importance: the anti-codon, which is responsible for specific mRNA codon recognition, and the 3' end, to which the tRNAs corresponding amino acid is attached (by aminoacyl-tRNA synthetases). tRNAs cope with the degeneracy of the genetic code in two manners: having more than one tRNA (with a specific anti-codon) for a particular amino acid; and 'wobble' base-pairing, i.e. permitting non-standard base-pairing at the 3rd anti-codon position.
Source: Rfam by way of RNAcentral
UCCCUGGUAGCUCAGACGGUAAAGCGUCUGCCUACAAUGCGGGAGACCCGGGUUCGAUCCCUGGGUCGGGAA